UGACGCACAGGUACACACAGGUAAAUACACUCAAACUGACAUACAGGUACAGACACAGACGGGUGUAUUUUGUGUGUGUUCCAGGUGUGUUUCAGCAGUGAGGAGUUGACAACAAGAUGACUCCUCCUCCUGUCCCCAAACCUCGAGCUCGCUACAUUAGGGACAGUCUGAGCUCCGCCUCCACACUGGACAGAGAUGAAAAUCUGGAACCAGUUUUCUCAAACGGAGUUUACCUGGGCACAGGUAACACACACACUCAC
Plectropomus leopardus (leopard coralgrouper) is the source of this 260-nucleotide non-coding RNA. The record is from RefSeq and is a predicted model, not a curated record. NCBI's taxonomy places the organism in Eukaryota, Metazoa, Chordata, Actinopteri, Perciformes, Serranidae.